This 508-nucleotide ribosomal RNA is filed under the name uncultured bacterium. Its description in RNAcentral is "bacterial SSU rRNA". It matches the Rfam family "Bacterial small subunit ribosomal RNA", at positions 15 to 518 of the family's 1533-position model. The record is from RNAcentral.
GAUCCUGGCUCAGGAUGAACGCUGGCGGCGUGCCUAAUACAUGCAAGUCGAACGAGGUAGCAAUACCGAGUGGCGAACGGGUGAGUAACACGUAGGUAACCUGCCCUUAAGCUUGGGAUACCCAGAGGAAACUUUGGCUAAUACCGGAUAACAACAGAGAAGGCAUCUUCUUUGCUUGAAAGGCCCCUUCAAGGGUCACUUAAGGAUGGACCUGCGGCGCAUUAGCUAGUUGGUGAGAUAACAGCCCACCAAGGCGAGGAUGCGUAGCCGAACUGAGAGGUUGAUCGGCCACAUUGGAACUGAGACACGGUCCAAACUCCUACGGGAGGCAGCAGUAAGGAGUUUUCGGCAAUGGGGGAAACCCUGACCGAGCAACGCCGCGUGAGCGAUGACGGCCCUAUGGGGUUGUAAAGCUCUGUUGUAAGCCAUGAAUGACAGCUUGAGGAAAUGCAAGUUGUUUGACGACAGCUUACCAGAAAGCCACGGCUAACUACGUGCCAGCCGCCGC